RNAcentral lists this precursor RNA (475 nucleotides) under Arabidopsis thaliana (thale cress). RNAcentral's name for it is "pre-miRNA 395b". The stretch from base 196 to 295 matches the Rfam family "mir-395 microRNA precursor family". Lineage: Eukaryota; Viridiplantae; Streptophyta; Magnoliopsida; Brassicales; Brassicaceae. The record is from RNAcentral.
CCCAACAUUUCGACUCGAUUCAUCUUUCAAAUUUCCACACGUUCUUUAGUUUUAUGAUUCGAAUAUAUGAUUAUUGGUCCCAUUAUGAAAAUUCUCAUUGAAAAAGGAAGAACUGGAGACCCUUAGCACUGAUAUAUAAAUAGGUAUGAAGUUAUUGUUGUUUAUAUCAGGACAGAGCUACAAGAAGAGAGUCAAAUGUCCCCAUGAGUUCCCUUUAACGCUUCAUUGUUAAAUACUCAAAGCCACAUUGGUUUGUAUACAACACUGAAGUGUUUGGGGGGACUCUUGGUGUCAUUCUGGCGUAGUGACCACCAUUGCAGCCGUUUUAUGGGUUCUUUUACAUUAGUAAGCUCUUCGUACUAUAGAUAUAUUUUUUUCAAUAACAAGUAAUAUGUGAGACGAAUUCAAAGUGGUGAUACAAAUACAAUGAUGACACUAGCUAAUGUAAACCACUAAACUAUAGGUCUUGGUCAGA